CCUGGGCAAGUAGCAAGCUGAACGGGCUGCCAACUUUUCUGAUAUCCCCACAGGCUGGCGUUUUCUGCCCAGCCAGAUAGCCUCUGAAUCUGUGGUUCUGUCCAACUGUUACUUUUACUUACCACUUUUUCUCAUCCUCAUUAGGAAUUGCAAGUGAAAUUUCUCAAGAUCUGCUUAACAACUCACAGCACUGCACAAUUUCCAGGGCAGUAGGACUAUGUUGGCUUCAGUGAGAUCUUCUAAUCUUGUUUCGUCUUUACUUUACUGAUAUUAUCUGCUCAAUUGAUUGCUCUCAGCAUAAGGUUCAGCUCACUCAUUCUUUGACUGAUUCAUAUAAGCUUCCUUUGGACUUGUCUCCCAGGCCUAAAAAUGCUCCUUUCAUGAGGCCUGUUGUCCUGAAAACUGUAACCACAACAGCUCUAGAGGGAUGGGAUGUGUGCCUGACAGAAGGCACAGAAAGCAAUUGAAGUGAGCAGGAGUGCUUGCAACCAUUGGGCUGCUCAUCUGGUGGCUGAUGAAUAUGAAGCCAUAAAAUUAUCUCUGGCAAAAUUUCCUCUCCUGGACUUCUCUGUGCCCUCGAGGAGCUACUGGAUAUCUUUCCCCAACUAUCAGGAGUGAACUGCUUUGCUGUAUGACACACAAUGUGAGAGCUCACCACAGGACCAAAAACAUGGGGCCAAACUGAGCAUGGAUUGAUACCCCAAAGCUGCAAAUCAAAAUAAACUUCUCUCCUUGGGUCUUGCUAUGUCACUAAGUUGCCCACACGGCCCUGAUACUUUUGAUCUGGCUGCCUCAGCCUCCCAAAGUGCUGAAAUUACAGGAAAUAAGAGUCAAGAGCAGAGAAAUCUGAUACCUAUUAUUCAUGGUCAAAAGCAGGACAAGGAGAAGUACCAGGCCUUGGGAAAGCAGGACUCCACCUUCAAAGGAUGGGGCUUGAGACCUGGCUUGGAAGUGUUUGCGCGGAAGUAAGAGAAAGCCCCCAUCCUCCUCUCGGUCCUGCAGCACUGGAAACCAGAAAAAAAAAUAGUCUCAAAGAUACUUCUAGAGAAUGGUGUUCACUGGGUGGAAAUUUAGGUGUAAUGCUGUGAGUGAAACUUCAAUAGGCACUGAGGAUCUUCCAGAGAGGUUUCAAAUAUAAACUGGUUUGAUGAAAGGAAGCGCCAGAAACAGCUUCUUAUUGAGUGUUUCCUUGAAGUAGUAUUGUUUCAAUGCUGUUGAAUAUUAAUGAUGGAAGGAAGCUCAUUCCAUCUGCUCUCUUAUUCUGACUUUAGCAAGUUAUGUUCCUUAUUACUUCCACAUUUCUGACCAUUCUUCAAAACCAGAUUACAAGUUUUUAUUCAGUGUUUACUGUAUGUAUUUAAUGAUCUGUUGUGGGAGGUCCUAUGGGGAAACAGAUCGCAUGUCAUUUCCCUCCAUUAAAAUUAUUGCAUUCUUACAUCUCCAACUCCACUCCUUGGUUGCCCUUCAUGCUUUUGCUACUUGUAACUUCUUCCCUGUGCUUCAAAAUCUUGCGUUCAAUUCAUCUUACCCGGACUCAGCCAAGUGGCAUUUACCCCCUUCUUCACUGUAUUUCCAAAGAAAUACGUUCUUAUUGCAAAUGGCACUUUUAAAUAUUGUUUCGCACUGACUUGUUUACAUGCUCUAUUGCCACUGUGUUGUAAAUUCAUGUCCGAGUCAUCCCUGCAGUUGUUCAAAAUUAGUUCCCAAUAAAAUUGAUGACUAUUUGCCUGUAAGGAGCUUACUGUUUCUUUAAACAGGAAGCAUGUUUAAAACAACUCAAAAUUGUAGAAGGCAAUAAUUAAUUAAUUCAUUAAUUCAGUGAAUUUUUAUUAAUUGCAUGUUUUAGUCUGAGGAGAGAAGUGAAUAAGACUUGGUAUCUGACUACAUAGAAUUUAAAAUUUGGGCUCAGACAGAGAUGUUAAAUAAUAAAUUAUAAAAAUUAUUUGUGAUUAGUGUAGCAGUAAAGAAAUGCAGACUGUGAGCAGACUAUGAAGAAAAUGUGCACAGGGGAACAGUAUGUUCAAAGGCCCUGAAGUGACAAGGAGCUGGGUCCUUUAGAGAAACAGAAAAGUUUGGGGCCCUUGAUGCAGGAACAGGUAGAGUAAACUGGCAGGAGAUCAAUUUGGGGACCAAGAGUUAAGAUCACAUAGGGGUUUUGAGGUCAUGUUAAAAUAUCUGGGAUUUAUUUUAAAAUUUCAGGAAAUCAUUGAAGAAAAUUAAGCAAGACUGCAACAUAAUUUAGUUUACUUUGGUUUUGUUUGAUAUAAGGUCUCACUAUAUAGCACAGACUGUCCUCAAACUCGAGAUCCUUUUGUCUCAUACUCCAGAGUGCUGAGACUAAGUGUGCACUGCUACAUCCUUCAAUUUACCUUUUUAGAGAAGAAUACUCCAGCUGCUAGAUGAAUAUUGGAUAUGGGGAGAAAAAUUAGGAGGGUAAAUGAUGAUCAUACCUAAUGUUAAUGUGUCUAUUUAUGUUAUGGACAUUGUCAAUGGAAAUAGAGACAGUAUAUGGAUUUGAGAGACUCAUAGGAGCCAUGUCUCACAGGAUUUAAAGAUUGACUGUGUAUGUGUGUGUGUGAGUGGAAGUAGUGAAGAAUAGAGGAAUAAGAGAGAAGAAAACAUCAAAGAUGACUUCCAUCAUCUUGGGAUUGAACAACUUUGUAACAGUUGGGGCAAUUUUAAAUGUUUAUAUAGACUAUUAAAAAAAAAAGAAAAGUUGCCAACCCCAAGCUCCUUCAUCAUUUUUUUGAACAUGAAAUUCCCUUGGGUCUUUGUAAAGUAUUCAAGUGACUCCUAUGAAAGCCAAAGGACUCAGGCUGGUGGUGACAGGUGACCUCUUAAGGCAUUUUUGGUAGGGUUGGCUGAGACCCUAACUGCUAUCAAGGAAUUGGCACCAUGCCUGGACUUGUCUGGAGAGGGGCUCUUCUAGUAGGUGGUGAGAUGGGGGAAAGGGAAGAUAGAAAGCACAGAAAAAGGCGUAUCUUUCUUAUCGACAAAUGUAAUAAUUUUGCUGAACAGUGAGGAGCUACUAAAAGGAAUAUAUAAUACUGUUUCUAGAGAAGUAGGCUUGGCAAAUGUGCACACAUAAUUCAAUUUAGAUCCCUUCCUCUGUGCUCUCAACUGAACUCUCUGUCACCCUACAGGCAACCUUCCCCACAAGUUCAAGAAUCUCUUGGAGCUUCAAUGUCCCUGAUAGCAAUUUCCUACAACUUUCCCUGAAACACUGAGCUUAGAAGCCCAUAUGAUGUAUCUGUGACUCAAUAUCACUAAUAAUUAAGGUAAUAGAUUUAAAAGUAUCUCCAAAAGUUUUAGCUUUCUGCCACCCCGGCCUGCAGCUCCCUUCAUCCCACCCUCCGAGCUAAACACAAAGGAGCUCCUCUGAGGAAGCCUGUACUACUCUCUAAAAAGCACUGGGUGGCAGCAGAGGAGCUCCUUCACUGCGGUGAAAAAGGCUUCUGCACAAGCAUGUGGGCAAAUGGCCAAGCUUUAGCUUCCCACUGUUACCUGAAUUAAACGCAGAGAAAAUAUAAAAGAGGAAAAGUAGCACAGUUAGCUAAAUGCUGCUUCAUCAGUUCAGUCUGCUUGGUAUUCAUGUCACAUAGAGGAAAAACGGUUUUCCAAGUACACUUGUUUUGUUUGAUGAAGUAAAUACAUUUUUUUGUUUUCUUUAUAAGUCAUAAAAUUGAUUCCCAUUAAGUGAAACCUAAGUGAAUCUCAUUAUUAAAUUGAGGAUUAGUCCUUUAAAAAACUGUCCUUUGAUAGUAUUAAGUCACCAUUAGGAACGUAGCAAAUCUUUUAAAAUAGCCCUUUAGAGGAAAAUAAUAAAGCCUUGCCAAAAUAUUGACAAUCAUAUGAAAAUCUUGACAACUAAUUCUAAAAUAUCAGUAACAUGCUAUAUUCCAAAGAAGUCAUCAAAUAGAAAAUAUUAAGAGAAAAAAGAUAGUACAAUACCACAUUCUUUAGAAGUAAAUGAUCAAUCUUGUACCCAUUUGCUCCUCAAAUAUUUUGUGUUUUGUUCAAUUUUUUCAUUGCCUUGAAUGGUCUUAUGUCCUACAUACUAAAUAUAACUUUUAGAAAAAAUUUUCUUUCUAUAAUUGAAUGCAAGCUCUUUCCAAGUAUUAUCUCAUGAUGGCCUAAGUAAUGUAUGUAUCUAUCAGAGGGUGGAUGUUUCUUAGUAGGUUAUAAUGCUCUUACUAAGUAAUAUUUACAUAAUUGGUGAUAGUUUAAAAUUAUAUUUGCACUUAUUAUCUCAUUUAAUCUUUACAACAGAAUGUUAUAUAGGGAUUAUUAUCAUCUCUAUUUUACUGGGGAGAAAAAAGAGGAUCAGAAAGGCCAAAUAACUUGCUCAAGGUCACACAUAUUUUAAGUGACAGACCUUGGAAACAAACCUAGGCUCUUUUACUUUAAAGGGUAGGAUCCCUUUCCUGUUACUCACUGCCUUCCAAACAAUUUGCAUGUUUAAAAAUUAUGUUCACUUAUUUUAAAAAAACAUAGAGGCAUGUAAAGAAGAAAAGACAAUAGCUCACUCUUAAGACAAUGGGAAACCACUGAAGGAUUUUAAGCCAAGGGCUGACAGAUGCACAUUUUACUAAAGACAACUCUGGCUCCAGUGUGGGAGGUGGUUUGGAGACAGAAAACAUAGGUGUGGGGAGAUUGGCUAGGUGGUCAUUUACCAGCGGUUGGGGAAAAGUGGUAGCUGUGGGUGGUAGCAAUUUAGGUCAUGAACACUGGGCAGAUUUGAGAGCUAUUUAGGAAUUAGAUUGAGCAGGUCUUGGUGAUUGACUAGAGACUGGAGAAAAAGGAAAACGAGUAUCAAGGAUAAAUAUUAGGAUGGGCAAAUGAUUGGUUGGAGGCAUUACUUGCUGAAACACAAAAUAUUAGGAAAAUAUCUAGAUUUUCUUGAAAUGUUACUUGAUCACUAUUCAAUGACAAAAAUCCUUAUGAACAGAAAUGUUUUUAAAAUUUAAAAUUUCAAUUAAGAAAGGUUGAAUUAUUUUUCCUGGAAUAUUUUUCUUCCUGUAUUUUCCCAGGCUGCAAAUUGAAGCCUGAUCUACCACCUCUAAGAAAUGUUCCUAAAUUUUCCCAGACCAAAAGCUGUCCUUUCUGCUUUCCCAUGGCACCAUGUCUUUGCCUACAUUUUGCUAUUUGUCCUUACCACUCCACCUAAACUAUAAUGCUCAGGAGUUAUAUACCUCAGGAAAUAUAUGCUGAAUAAAUAAUGGUCUUGAAUUUCCAUUUUUCCUUCCAUUUUAGAGGAUAGUUUUCCUAUUAAAAAAGGGAAAAUUCCACAUAUCAAACAAGAUAUCUAAUCCAAAAAUAAGGGUAGGAAGAGAUUAAGAGAUACUUAGAGUUCUAGUUGAUAUUAUCAAUCUUAGCUCAUAUUUAUGGCAUGUGUGUUUACAUUCAUUGAGGUUAUUAGGUUCCUGUACAUGGCAUAUCUUUACACUUGAUCUUAGCCAAAAGGCCGAGAAGCGAUACGUGACAUAUCUUUAUUCUCCUUAUCCUUUCCCCUCCCCCUCAUCCUUGAUCUUUUGGGCCUCUUCCCAUUUGGAGGAGAUCCAUCCCCUUGUCUCCGGCUUUCCAUCCUUUAUUAUUCUCUUUGUACUUUGCCUUACUCAAAUGAGGGAUACCAUAGCGUAUUUAAGCUUGUGUGCCUCAUUGAUUUCACUCAACAAACACGUACUAAUAAAAAGAGAGAUACUUAGAGUUCUAAUCCAAAAUAAUGUAAGUUCUACCACCAGAUAUGUUACUUAAUAGGUUAGAAAAUUCUUUAGAUGUGAUCUCAGAACUGUGAGUGAUAAUCUUUAAGAAAUCAUAGAGAAUGUCAGAUGGCUCAAAUGAAUAGAAAUGGGAGGAUGCCACAAUUCUAAGUAGAAAAUAUGGUUGGUUCCAGAAUCAAUAACUCACUAAUUUUAUACAAACCAGG
Molecule: long non-coding RNA, 5926 nt
Organism: Heterocephalus glaber (naked mole-rat)
Lineage: Eukaryota; Metazoa; Chordata; Mammalia; Rodentia; Bathyergidae
Source: Ensembl